GAGGCAGAUGAUUGGUGGCUCAGCUGGUGAUGCUCUGCUAAAUUGAUGGUUGACUCAGCCAUGAUUUGGGUGGCAAAAUUUUGGUCUUCAUGGCAAAGAAGAAGAGAGGAAGUUGUGGGAGGAAGUUUUCCUGAAACAUGGCAAAUUUGCUGUGACUGAAAUUUGGCCCUGUGAUAUCCUGAGUGAUGCUAGCAGAUCCUGCCUUUUU
This 208-nucleotide unclassified non-coding RNA is filed under the name Hevea brasiliensis (rubber tree). The record is from RNAcentral. Lineage: Eukaryota; Viridiplantae; Streptophyta; Magnoliopsida; Malpighiales; Euphorbiaceae.